GGGGANGUAGCUCAGUGGUAGAGCGUCCGCUUCGCAUGCGGAAGGCCCGGGGUUCGAUACCCCGCAUCUCCA
RNAcentral lists this transfer RNA (72 nucleotides) under Actinia tenebrosa (Australian red waratah sea anemone). Its description in RNAcentral is "tRNA-Ala". It matches the Rfam family "tRNA". From Rfam's summary of the family: Transfer RNA (tRNA) molecules are approximately 80 nucleotides in length. Their secondary structure includes four short double-helical elements and three loops (D, anti-codon, and T loops). The record is from RNAcentral. Lineage: Eukaryota; Metazoa; Cnidaria; Anthozoa; Actiniaria; Actiniidae.